GCGGAGACGGAGAGAGGCAGCUUGGAGAGCAGAGAAAGGCAGAGAGAGCGAGAAAUAGAGACAGUCUGAGAGACAGACAGACAGCCAGAGAGAGCGGGAGGGAGGAGGGCGGAGGAGGAGGAGCAGGAGGACUACGCGGGGCGCGUUCCCUCCCAGCAGCCGGGCGCCCGCGUCGCUGCCACCGCCGGAAGACAGACGUCCCCCAAAACCCCUCGCCUGGCUCGGACCCACGGAGCCGGCAGCCCAGCACUCCGAUGGGAGCUUGCCUGAUUGUCAACCCAUCGGCCUGGACCCCAGAGCCCACCCAGCUGAGCGUGUGCAGAGGGCCCCGAGUGCGGGGCGACGCUCAGGCCGUUGCAGAGACCACCCUGGAGAUGCUGAUGAAGACAGGCCUUUCCUGCUGAGCCCAGCCUAUCUUCGCAGCCUGCUCAGGCGCUGUCCACGCCCCGAGGCCUGGGCUCAGGCCGAAGUUGCUCCACAGCACCCCCAGCUGACAGCCAGCGACUGGCAGAGCCCCCAGGCACGGGGGCCCUCUCUCUUCCAGGUCAGCCGGGUGUCUGCGCUGGACAGAGCGCUGAGGGAACCGGGGGUGGUACCUGGAGGAGGCCGGGCCGGUGGGCAGGGGUUGAGCUG
This 633-nucleotide long non-coding RNA is filed under the name Pan troglodytes (chimpanzee). Its description in RNAcentral is "long non-coding RNA NONPTRT000922". The record is from RNAcentral. Lineage: Eukaryota; Metazoa; Chordata; Mammalia; Primates; Hominidae.